AGUGAACGCUGGCGGUAGGCCUAACACAUGCAAGUCGAACGGCAGCACAGUAAGAGCUUGCUCUUACGGGUGGCGAGUGGCGGACGGGUGAGGAAUACAUCGGAAUCUACUUUUUCGUGGGGGAUAACGUAGGGAAACUUACGCUAAUACCGCAUACGACCUACGGGUGAAAGCAGGGGAUCUUCGGACCUUGCGCGAUUGAAUGAGCCGCUGUCGGAUUAGCUAGUUAGCGGGGUAAAGGCCCACCAAGGCGACGAUCCGUAGCUGGUCUGAGAGGAUGAUCAGCGACAUUGGAACUGGGACACGGUCCAGACUCCUACGGGAGGCAGCAGUGGGGAAUAUUGGACAAUGGGCGCAAGCCUGAUCCAGCCAUACCGCGUGGGUGAAGAAGGCCUUCGGGUUGUAAAGCCCUUUUGUUGGGAAAGAAAAGCAGCAGGUUAAUACCCCGCUGUUCUGACGGUACCCAAAGAAUAAGCACCGGCUAACUUCGUG
RNAcentral lists this ribosomal RNA (492 nucleotides) under uncultured bacterium. Its description in RNAcentral is "partial 16S ribosomal RNA". It matches the Rfam family "Bacterial small subunit ribosomal RNA", at positions 29 to 507 of the family's 1533-position model. The record is from RNAcentral.